GGAUAAGCACAUCAAUACCUAAGACACCACUUGUUACACGAUGAACUAUAUUUUGGACAAAAGGUAGAGAAAGAAAUAUGUGAAUGAUAUGAGGAGAACUGAAGCAUGGUCCUGACCCUGAUUUGUACAUAUGAACAUAUCGACCUUUUGUGGGUUAUUUCAGUUAUCAGUGAGAUGUUUGUAAUAAAGUGUGAAGUUAUGUUUUGAAAAUAAAUUGGGUUAUUUAAUACUUAUGUAUAAUAUGUUUGAGACCCACUUUAUGUUUAAUGUAAAUAAUGUGAAAUAA
Long non-coding RNA from Humulus lupulus (European hop), 286 nucleotides. RefSeq lists it as uncharacterized. The transcript has 2 exons. The record is from RefSeq and is a predicted model, not a curated record. NCBI's taxonomy places the organism in Eukaryota, Viridiplantae, Streptophyta, Magnoliopsida, Rosales, Cannabaceae.